UAGCGGGGCUCAAGCGUACCGCCGAAGUCGUGUCAUUGCAGCAUGAGGGCCAACGCCCGCUGUGAUGGGUAGGGGAGCGUCGUGUGCCGGGUGAAGCAGCCGUGGAAGCGAGUUGUGGACGGUUCACGAGUGAGAAUGCAGGCAUGAGUAGCGAUUCACACGUGAGAAACGUGUGCGCCGAUUGACUAAGGGUUCCUGGGUCAAGCUGAUCUGCCCAGGGUAUGUCGGGACCUAAGGCGAGGCGGACAGGCGUAGUCGAUGGAUAACCGGUUGAUACUCCGGUACCCGCUGUGAAGCGUCAAACAUUGAAUCCAGAGAUGCUAAGCCAGUGAAGCCGUUCCGGACCCUUCGGGGAAUUGAAAGUGGUGGAGCCGGUGGCCCGAGCUGGUAGUAGGUGAGUGAUGGAGUGACGCAGGAAGGUAGUCCAUCCCGGGCGGUGGUUGUCCCGGGGUAAGGGUGUAGGACGUCAGGUAGGUAAAUCCGCCUGGCUAUAGUCUGAGACCUGAUGCCGAGCCGAUUGUGGUGAAGUGGAUGAUCCU
RNAcentral lists this ribosomal RNA (539 nucleotides) under Streptomyces albidoflavus. RNAcentral's name for it is "partial 23S ribosomal RNA". It matches the Rfam family "Bacterial large subunit ribosomal RNA", at positions 1173 to 1601 of the family's 2925-position model. The record is from RNAcentral. Lineage: Bacteria; Bacillati; Actinomycetota; Actinomycetes; Kitasatosporales; Streptomycetaceae.